CAUUCACUUAUUUUGCUUCAAUAAAUUGAAUAAUCAUUUAAGAUGCAGAUGAGCCGAAGGAUAAAGCGCAUAGGGGAAGUUUCCCACAAUCAAGCAAAUUCAUCAUCAGGAAUGUCCUCAUGACCUUAUAGUAGUCCAUUAUCUCUACAUGGAUCCUCACCCGUUGAAGAUAUUGCGGGGACAGAUACACAUGCAUCUCCUAUGAGUCCACCUAUGAGUCAACGUCAUCAUCGGGAUUCAUCGCCUGGUCUAGACAAUCAUCAUGAUGGAUCCAGUGAUGACGAGAUCCAACACGAGUCUUUUGCGAGAUCUUCUCAGUCGGAAGUUGAAU
Long non-coding RNA from Asparagus officinalis (garden asparagus), 331 nucleotides. RefSeq lists it as uncharacterized. The record is from RefSeq and is a predicted model, not a curated record. The transcript has 4 exons. Lineage: Eukaryota; Viridiplantae; Streptophyta; Magnoliopsida; Asparagales; Asparagaceae.